UACGGAGGAUCCGAGCGUUAUCCGGAUUUAUUGGGUUUAAAGGGUGCGCAGGCGGGGGAUUAAGUCGGCGGUGAAAUUUUGCAGCUCAACUGUAAAAGUGCCUUCGAAACUGGUUUCCUUGAGUGUAGAUGAAGUAGGCGGAAUUUGUGGUGUAGCGGUGAAAUGCUUAGAUAUCACGAGGAACUCCGAUUGCGCAGGCAGCUUACUAAACUACUACUGACGCUCAGGCACGAAGGCGUGGGGAUCAAACAGGAUUAGAUACCCCCGUAGUCCCUGA
RNAcentral lists this ribosomal RNA (277 nucleotides) under uncultured prokaryote. RNAcentral's name for it is "partial 16S ribosomal RNA". It matches the Rfam family "Bacterial small subunit ribosomal RNA", at positions 524 to 800 of the family's 1533-position model. The record is from RNAcentral.